GGCACCAUAGCUUAGGUGACUAAAGCAUUGGCCUUGUAAGCAGAAGAUCCUGGGUUCAAAUAGCUAAGCAGGAGAUCCUGGGUUCAAAUCCCAGGGGUGCCU
This 102-nucleotide transfer RNA is filed under the name Pelodiscus sinensis (Chinese soft-shelled turtle). It matches the Rfam family "tRNA". Rfam says of the family: Transfer RNA (tRNA) molecules are approximately 80 nucleotides in length. Their secondary structure includes four short double-helical elements and three loops (D, anti-codon, and T loops). Lineage: Eukaryota; Metazoa; Chordata; Testudines; Trionychidae. The record is from Rfam by way of RNAcentral.